GGAUGACAGCUUAUUCAGGGUCUAACCUAUGCAGAUAUGUGCCUUGAUUUUAGAAAAAUAAGUUAAUGCAUAUAGUAAGCCCACAACUGGAUAACCACAUCCUAUGAUGAACGGCAGGAAGCCAUGUCAGGGGUGGGAGGCAGGUCUAAUA
Molecule: long non-coding RNA, 151 nt
Organism: Passer domesticus (house sparrow)
Lineage: Eukaryota; Metazoa; Chordata; Aves; Passeriformes; Passeridae
Exons: 3
Source: RefSeq, a predicted model, not a curated record